This 520-nucleotide ribosomal RNA is filed under the name uncultured Glomus. RNAcentral describes it as "SSU rRNA". It matches the Rfam family "Eukaryotic small subunit ribosomal RNA", at positions 569 to 1092 of the family's 1831-position model. Lineage: Eukaryota; Fungi; Glomeromycota; Glomeromycetes; Glomerales; Glomeraceae. The record is from RNAcentral.
AGCAGCCGCGGUAAUUCCAGCUCCAAUAGCGUAUAUUAAAGUUGUUGCAGUUAAAAAGCUCGUAGUUGAAUUUCGGGACCAAUUUGUUGGUCGUGCCUCGGUACGUACUGGUAUUAUUGGUUUCCCCCUUCUGAAGAACCUCGAUGCCAUUAAUUUGGUGUCGUGGGGAAUCAGGACUGUUACUUUGAAAAAAUUAGAGUGUUUAAAGCAAGCAUACGCUUGAAUACAUUAGCAUGGAAUAAUGAAAUAGGACGUUUGAUUCUAUUUUGUUGGUUUCUAGGAUCGACGUAAUGAUUAAUAGGGAUAGUUGGGGGCACUAGUAUUCAAUUGUCAGAGGUGAAAUUCUUGGAUUUAUUGAAGACUAACUACUGCGAAAGCAUUUGCCAAGGAUGUUUUCAUUAAUCAAGAACGAAAGUUAGGGGAUCGAAGACGAUCAGAUACCGUCGUAGUCUUAACCAUAAACUAUGCCGACUAGGGAUCGGAUGAUGUUAAUUUUUAAUGACUCAUUCGGCGCCUUACG